GUGACCCCAGGUCAGUCGGGAUUACCC
This 27-nucleotide ribosomal RNA is filed under the name Sporobolus cynosuroides. RNAcentral's name for it is "partial 28S ribosomal RNA". Lineage: Eukaryota; Viridiplantae; Streptophyta; Magnoliopsida; Poales; Poaceae. The record is from RNAcentral.